GCUUGCUUUGGCACCCAUAUCCUAAAAUUAAAAUGAGACAGAGGAAAUUAGCAUGGCCCUUUUGAACAAAUGACAUGCAAAUUUGUGAAAUGUUUCAGAGAUAA
Sorex fumeus (smoky shrew) is the source of this 104-nucleotide small nuclear RNA. The record is from RefSeq and is a predicted model, not a curated record. Lineage: Eukaryota; Metazoa; Chordata; Mammalia; Eulipotyphla; Soricidae.